GACGUGAUUCUGGAUAAGGGUGUCAAUGACUCUAAUGUUGUUGUUGCCUUUAGACGCCCAAGGCCCGAAUGGUUAUCGCAGCAAUCGUUUGUCAUUCAGGUCUACAUUCUGUCUGAUUGUAUAUUGGCUUCUUAAUUGAUCCUUCUGUCUGAAAUUGAAUAUAUAUGCUGCAGUGCUAUAGCAUAAACAUGGUAUAGUGUUUUAAAUUGUUGCUAAGCAAUUUAUACUCCAUUGAUCUUGUUAAUAGUACUCAUUUCUCAUUUUCAUUGGUACUCUAAUUCUUGCACCAAAUCUUGCAUCAAUUAGGGAUUCUUCAACUGAACUUCUCUUUCAUUGUAUCACCAAAUACUGAAGUUUUGCUAUGUGUUUUUGUCUAUAUAGAAUUGCAUUCAUUCCCUAUUCUUUCAGUAGUUACAUGGCUUGAGGUCUCUGUAUUCUUUUGAAUAGGAUGUAUUGUUCUAUGCAGAAGACCUGAUUUGCACAAACAUAGUUAUCUGCAUGUGCUUCCUGACUUGGUAUUUGUUAUAUCUUGUUGGUUGAAUGUAUGGUGGUGCCAGUACAGUGGUAGUAUAUUAAGGUUGGUGUGUUGCUGAGGUUAAUCCCUUCGGAAACAUUCUUUGAGAAUUUUGUAAUUGGGUGUUGAUAUUGCGCAAGUUCUAUUGUAUGUGAGUUCUUUUUGUUGCUGCAAAGCAUUGAUACAAUAUGUCAUUUGCAGGGAGCUUGCUUUGCAUCCGAGUCUCAGUCAUCCUGCACAGCAAGGAGCCGGACCUAGGGAGCAAGCAAUGCUGCUAGUUCCUUGAGACAUGUGCAUGUGUGGAGUAAUUUUGCUUAGAGUACUUAACAAGAUUGAACUGUACAUGUGUGGAGUAAUUUUGCUUGGAGUAUUUAACAAGAUUCAAUAAGAUUUAACUUACUU
RNAcentral lists this long non-coding RNA (916 nucleotides) under Triticum aestivum (bread wheat). Its description in RNAcentral is "long non-coding RNA (TAES_LNC020137)". Lineage: Eukaryota; Viridiplantae; Streptophyta; Magnoliopsida; Poales; Poaceae. The record is from RNAcentral.